Molecule: long non-coding RNA, 6536 nt
Organism: Eriocheir sinensis (Chinese mitten crab)
Lineage: Eukaryota; Metazoa; Arthropoda; Malacostraca; Decapoda; Varunidae
Exons: 2
Source: RefSeq, a predicted model, not a curated record
ACUGGUCCGCAGAUUUUUUUUCACUUGCUCGACUGGUCCGUGGCUUUGAAAAGGUUGGGAACCACUGCUCUGGGGCAUUACGCCACUUGACCUGCUGUACCGUAGUUUUACAGACAGACCCCUUACCGUAGGAUCUAUGUGGUCUGGACAUCUAUGUAAAUCUAUGGAAGUCUUCCUAUCCCCGUCCUCCCUCUUCAGCUAUUUUGAAUUUCCCUCUCUCUUCCUGCUCGUUUUUCACCAAUCCCUCCCUCUUGCAGAUUCAUUUUCUUUACUCUUCCAAAUGCUUUUUGUUUUUAUUUCCACUUCCCCGCUAGUAAAUACAAUAAAAUAGGCAUUGCAGGUAACAUUCCAUAAGCCGGAGUUAACGAGCGGCGUCAAUCUGUCAAGAGGUAGAGGUAGACAGCCCCCUGAAACACGGCAAAAGGAGAAAAGCAAAGCGCUAUUAAAGAUAAAUAGUAUAACGCCAGUGGGAAGCAGAGUAUGUUAAUGAGCAGAAGAGAGAAUCAAGAGGAGGAGAAGGACCUACGAAGCUACAGAAAGCAAUAGAGAUUAAAAGAAGAAGGGGGCGAGACAGGCAGGGAAGAAGAGCUGGACGGCACGCACAGGACCAAGCAGCAGAGGGAGAGGAGGUCAGCACCCACCAAGAACACCAAACAGAGAAUAAGAUAGACUAGCAUCGCAUUACAAGACUCAAGAGGAAGGUUAAGGUCUUGUUGCUACUGAUGGCAGGACGAGCUGGUGCUGGUGACGGCUGGUAGUGUCAAGGGAAUCCAAGAAGAAAAUGGAAAUGGUAGUCACUUACGACAAAUUCUUCUCGAAAUCUCAGCAACACCAGCAAGAUCCUCAGUACAGUACAGCGCAGCAGGCCUUCAGAGCACCAGAUAUCCCUCAGGGUGUUCUGACCUCCCAUAAUGCAUAAUAAGUGGGCUUUGCAAAGUGAGUAAAGAGUAUUUUAACUUAAUAGUAUUUUGAGACUGUGCUCAAAACAAAAAUCCAGUGAAAUAAUAUGAAAUGGCUUUAUGUUUGACUACAGCACCAAAAUCUCACACCUCUGAUGAAGUUACUGGAGAGCAAUUCUUGCCCCACUGAGUGGAACAGAAACUGAAGCAAAACACAUCACACUGACCACCGUUACCCAGCCUCCAGCAUGGCAUGAGCAAAGGCAGUACUCCAAGCCACAGCUCAAGUGUGCAAACAUAGGACAGGAUGGAGGAAGUGAGGCUUUUUAAGUGUGAGGAGUGUGGAGAAGUUGUGAAAAGUAACAGUAGACUCAUCCAACAUUUGCUGUCCCACCGAGGAGCCACUGUGUUUUGCUGUGAGGAAUGUGAGGAAGUUUUUCUCAGUGAAAGCCAGCUAGACCAACACACAUCAGCCCUCCACACUGAUAAUGCCCUGAGUUUUGAGUGCAAUGAGUGUGGAAAAUGCCUCAGCAGUGAAAGGACUUUAAAAGCACACCUAGUCAUGCAUUGUGAAGAGAAAGAUUUCAAAUGUUUAGAAUGUGGGAAAGAAUUCACCUCAAGAAAGAAUCUGACACAGCAUCUUAGGGUUCAUAGUGAGAGAGAGUUUGAGUGUGAGGAUUGUGGUAUUCAGUUCAAAUGGAGAGGUGACCUCUUGCGACACAAAAGAAAUAUUCACAGUGGAAUAGCAAAUUACGUUUGUAAUGAAUGUGGCAAAGGCUUUGUCCGCAAGAGGCAUCUUGACCGACACAUAAACUAUAGCCAUGGUGAAGAUACAAAAGUAACAACUGAAGUAAGCAGUUUUACUUAGAAAAUUAGGAGGCAGUAUAUAGCUAAUACUCAAAAUAUAGAGAUAAAAAAAUUAAUCUUCUGAAAUAUUACAUAACCAAUGAACUGUUUACAAAAAAUAAAUACAUAUGCAAAGUCAAGCAUAUAUAUUCAUGUUUUUGACAAUAGGUGCCGUGCACAAUUCGUCAAGUUCAAGCUCGGGCCGAGCUCUGGAGGACCAACAAAACAAAACUUUUCUUCUUUUGGCCUGUUCUGCUUUGUAUCACUUCCCUCCUUUUGUGACAUGCUGGGGUGUAGCAAUAAACCGAACAAGUUCCCCGAUAUGUCAUUCUACAGACUACCAGCUGUGGACAAGAAACAGGGAUUGAAAGAAGAGAAAAUAACACGAGAGCAUUGAGGACUGUCGAGACACAGUUGCUGGCAACCUGUCGUUGGGUUGCCAGCCACUGCUCUCAGCUUUCUCGUGUUAUUUUCCCUCCUUUCAGUUCCAGUCUCUUGUCCACAGCUGGUAGUCUGUAGAAUGACUCAUCAGGGAACUUGUUCUGUAUAUUGCCGCACCCCGGCAUGCCACAAAAGGAUGGCAUUUAGGCAAAAAGACAGUCUUUCAGUAUCAAUGGAGGGGCGUGGUGGCUUCAGAGCCCCGUUGCGAUGUGUGAACAGUUACUCUCGUGCACGGCACCUAUACAAGGUUGUUGUACUACCUUAGGGUGGACUUUACACUUAACUCUGCACUACUGCAACUACUACCGCAUGGAUGUAGCUUUUUAUGACUAAAAUAUGUACCGGUAAUUUCUGACAGAAAAAGACAUGAUAACUGUAUUCACAACAUAGAAGACUAUAAAUUAUCUGAAGGUGUGAUUGUUGGAAGAAGGGCAAAUGAAGGUACUGACAUUAUCUAGUCAUGUGUCAUAAUGGUAAAGAUGUGAACAUAGGGUUUAGUGUGUGAUACAAAAGCAUUCAAAAGUGAUCUUAAGAAAAAUGAUACAUUUGAAAUUUGAAAUUUUGCAAAUUGUCUUCAAGAUGUGUGGAUGAGUCAAAGUUGUUUAGAGUAUGAAAGUAAUAACUGAGAACAUGAAGAUUGUUUGGUCCAUCAGUCAUUAAAUGAGCACCUGCACUAAAGCCAGCUGCUUCUGCUUCCCACUUCAGUUACCUAGACUCCUAGAGCACCUGGAGAUUUUGAGUGUUAGAGUCACAAAUUAUUAUUUUUAAAAGAAUUCUGGUAUUUUUUGAGGUAUUAAUAUUUUUGUAUUUUAGAAAUUCAAUAUUUUACUGUACUUAAGUGUUGCAGUUCUUAGCAGGCUCAUCUAACAAUUGAAAGUGUUCUGGGUUUUAAUUCUGGGUCAAGCAGAAGUACCAUGGCUGGGCCUCUGAACCCUUCAGUUUAUACAAUUGAGAGCUCAUAGAAGCAUAUCUCUGGACCUCACAGGUUGAUAUUUAAAUAAGUACUGGAACUCUCAUAUUAAUGUUUAGUGUCAUUCUUUUAUCAUUUACAAGAAAACAAAUAAUUUCAACAUGAAAUUUAAUGGUGAAAAUAAAGGGCACAACUUUAUCUUAUAAGUAAGAGCAUACACAUGAGUGUGUAGCACAUGGUAAGUGUAGUGAGUUAUGCUCAGUGCCUGCAGCUAAACAAUCAGUAUUGAAUAUACUGCAUACAGGGAGGGGUAAAGUUUAGUUCCAUGAAACAAAAAUGCAUCUCAUAUUUGGGAUUGGGUACAAAAGGUGACCACUGCCAGUGGUGAUUACAUAACCAUAUGCCAUUAAUCAGCUAAGCUUACUUCAAUAGUGACUUAACUUUUUUGCUAACUUUGGAAACUUAGCUGGCCAAUUAGCUUCCCCUGGAUUUAUGUUCACUAAGUCUGCUAACACAACUCAUACAAGUUUGUUGCUGUCUUUUGUGGGUGUUUCUCCAAUGGUCAGUGAGGCAUGGUUAGCUAACUAUGUGUAAACAUGACAAAACGUAACUAACAUAGCAGUGGGUGGGCAGCAUGUGUAAUUCUGCAAUUCUAAGUUCAGUUCACUUACAAUUUUGUCAGGUCACAGACACAUUGCUUUGUCAGUGACAGCAGUGUGCUUUAUUAUCAUUAUGGAAAGUGACAGCAAUUUUGUUUUACUUGAGGAUAUUAAGCAUGUUGAGGAGCCUACAGCAGCUGUGGGAGAGGCAAAGGCCACUCAGACUGAGGAGAGUGAGAGCCAGGAGUCUCAGAACAUAUGGUCCCAUCCAGAGGAUUAUCUUUUCUUAACUCAAGGAAGAAGAGGAAUGCCAACCUCUUGUACUUAUAAUUUCAUUUGUUCAUAUAAUUAUUUGUUGGCACAUUGAUCAUCUGAGUUUAGCAUACUACAUAUAUUUUUGUACAGCUCUAUGUCUAAUUUAUUAUUAUUAGUAGUAGUAGUAUUGUUAUUAUUAUUAUUAUUAUUAUUAUUAUUAUUAUUAUUAUUAUUUUUAUUUUUAUUAUUGUUAAUUGAGAUGAGAUCCAUGAAAGAACAUCAAGAAAAUAAAGAAUUGCUACAGUAUAGACACAGUCUCCUCAGUAAGCCAACAUCAUUAUGAAAGAUAUGAGACUGGGACAGCAAAGUGAGGAGAAAAAUAAAAAAGGGGGAGGGCAAAAAUAAUACCUAAUGAGUUAAUAGUGGGUGUUGAUUUUUUUAUUUAAACUUAUCAAUGUCAUUAAGAGAAACAAUCUUAUCUGGAAGUACAUUCCACAUAAUCAAAUUUGGGAUGAGCGGGAAAGUUGGCCAGUUAUGCAAAAAAAUAGUGGAAGAGCGUGCUCAUUACAUUUUCAACUGUGGCGUAUUCGGCAAAUAUAGGCUGAAAUUGAGUGUAAUUCAUUGUGAAGAGGGUGCUCAUUGUUAUGAAAAAUCUUAAAAAACAAGGUCAAAGCACCAACUAUUCAAUGAUGACAAAUUUGCAUAUUGAGGUUGGGUAGUAGAAAGUAUAAGUUAAAUGAACACUAAAAAUUUGAGUUGAGAAAGAGGAGCUGAUAUCCAAACUGGACCACCGUACUCAAAAAAGGGAAACAUAAAGGAAAAAAAUUAAAAUAACAAGCUACAACAUAUUAAGACCUAUCCUUAUUAUCAAUCAAUGCCCAGCAAGCAUUUCUCGCUAUGUGUAUUUCACUUGCUUCUCAAGCAGUGUUACCAGAUGGAGCAGUUUCUGACAGGCUCCACACUAUAGGACAGUGCCUGGCAGGCAUUUGCCAGUCUGUCAGGCAUGCCUGUCAGUACAGUCUGUUGGGCAUGCUCCUCAGCACAGUGUCAGGCAUGACCGAUAGAGUUACAAAAAUGUUUCCAAUGAUGGCCAUUUCACUUGUGCUCAGUAGUGUUGACAGGCUGGUUAUGAAGCUUGAGAGUGUUAAUUGAAGGGUUGCUUCCCUUGACCAGUGUUGUUUAGCUACCUCCACAUUAUCAGGCAGUUCCCAUGUGUUGUACACUUCAGUGUAGCAUAAAAUAGCAAAAUAAUGCAUAACAGACAGCUCCUUUUGGUUUAAAACAUGUGUAAUUGUACACGUGUAGCCUUGUGAUAGUUUGAGUGUGCUGCCGUCCACAAAUUGGGACCCCCAAAUCUCGAGGCUUCAACCCAGGUGGCAUUGAGGGCAAAGCCCGCUGGUCAAGCAGGGGCACUUUGAUGGUUUGCCUGUGGAUUCCCUGCUUCUGUCAUCAUCUCCACUCAUGCCCUCCACCCUCAAUCCAAAUGUGUGUAUCAGAACGGGAUUUGGUAACAGUGUUUGCCUGUUGGGCACUGCCCGAUAGUGUGGCCUUAAGUUUCAGCUCUACUUCUCUUUUAAGGAGUUUAGAUUAAAAGCAAAAAAACAAACCAAAGGUGAAUUCACCUAAUUAAAGUUUAAUGCUAGCAUUAGUUUCCACUAAAUUUUUAGCAGGUUAGCAUUAGUUAAGCAAACUUUUUAUUUUAGUGGAUUAAUGCUUUACAAAGCUAUCAUUUAUUUACCUGUGCCCACUACUGAUCACUGGUAGAUUUGAGUAAGAGUUUGUAAGUACAUAGGGAAAAGUGAAAGUGACUAGUACUAUGAAUGAAUCAGGUUAUUGUACAUGUUUAAUUAUAGAUAGAAACUUGUGUAUGGUAUGCAAGUAAAUGUCCAUUAACUCUUUUGCACCUGUAAAUAUAAACAGUUACCCAUUGCAAUAUGGGUAACUUAUGCAACAGCAAAGUUGACUGGUUUUGUAUAAACUUACUUUCAGAUACUGUCUAGAAGUAGAUAAAUUUGAGUCAUUGUAAUACUGUAACUCAGAGUAUCCAGUUUUCAAGGCAUUUUAUUCCAUCCUCAUGGAAAUUUCAUGGAAAAAUCAUCUCUGGUGCCAUGGAUGAAUGUCAUGAGAAGAUUGUUCAUUGGGUUUCUAAUAGUUUGGAAAUUGUUAGGUUGUUUGGUUCUUAUAGUAUACAUGAUCAUCCAAAUUCAGAUAAUAUGUAGUAUUACAUAUGAGGCAUCUAGAACUCGAGGGGCGAACACUCCAACAUGGCGUAUUUUGAGUUUUCGCCGGAUUACGCUCGAUGGAAGCACUGUACAACCCUCUAUGAAUGCGAAAAUGGGAAAUUUGUCUCUAUGGCCCAGUAGAAGGGUGGUGAGGGUAGCGUGAGUUUGCCUGUCCGCAGAGUGUAUGAAGUAGGCUGUAUCAGGUCUCUUAGGGCAAAGAGCACUAGUAAAACACUCAUAAAACACCUAAAUAUGGGAAUUUUGUUUUGAAAUUUAAACUGGCUGUUAGUUACAUCGUGUUCUUUUGAUUUUCUGAGUUUGGAUUAAAUCAGAUAAUACACAUGCAUUAAUAAAAAAAAAAUAC